CUCAUUAAAUCAGUUGUAGUUUAUUUGAUGGUCUCUUUGUUCUUCUUUUUACCUACUUGGAUAACCGUGGUAAUUCUAGAGCUAAUACAUGCGCAAGGUCCCGAGCGCGGGAGAGUAGGACUUCACGGUUCUAUUCUUGUAUGCGUAGAGGGAUGUAUUUAUUAGGUUAAACAACCAGCAUCUUUUCAUUUCUGGUGAUUCAUAGUAACUCUUUCGGAUCGCAUUCAUG
This 229-nucleotide ribosomal RNA is filed under the name uncultured Acanthamoeba. Its description in RNAcentral is "partial 18S ribosomal RNA". It matches the Rfam family "Eukaryotic small subunit ribosomal RNA", at positions 97 to 279 of the family's 1831-position model. Lineage: Eukaryota; Discosea; Longamoebia; Acanthamoebidae. The record is from RNAcentral.